This 485-nucleotide small RNA is filed under the name Arabidopsis thaliana (thale cress). Its description in RNAcentral is "unknown gene (AT3G06125)". Lineage: Eukaryota; Viridiplantae; Streptophyta; Magnoliopsida; Brassicales; Brassicaceae. The record is from RNAcentral.
AUAAAAAUACUUCUUCAAGUACAGCUCCAUUUCUGACCGUUCAAUCUAUGGCAAAGGCAGACUUUUUCCGAUCCUUCACCGUCUCGGAUUUAGUUUUCUCACCAUUGAAGAUCUAAUUUUCCUACCUUUCUCCAUGAGACGCUUUCCUUUAGGUCUCGGGGUGCUGAUUUUGCUUCACCGCCGUUCGUGGUAAGGAGUAUUUUGGUUUUGUUUCCUUUUGUGAGAGUUUCUAGUCUCAGAUCUGUUGAUUCUAUGUUUGUUUUACACUUUGUAUUUCUGGUUUUGAAUAUCAGGAUUAUGAGUCCGGAAAGUAUUUGUUCAGAUAUGAUGUAUUUGUAGCUUGGGUUUUUUCCCCUUUAGUUUGAUCUUGUAUUCGGGAGUUUUCAUUUGCUUGCCGACUUUAAUCUCUACAAGGAUUGUUUCCUUGUCGGCCUUUGUAAUCAUGUGACUCUAAAUUUUAUCAAUAAAAUCCUUAUUCUACUAAG